ACUUAACCGACUGGCUGCUGUGAGUGGGGGGCGGCUGCGCUUACCCGUGGCUGCUGGUGCCGGGACCGGCUGCUCCCCGCAGAGGAGGAUGCUGGUGCUCAACAAGCUGGUCCUGGCCAUGCUCAGGCAGCCAUUCAGCAGCCAAACCCACCCCAUGCACCCUGGCCCAUCUCUGGAAGGAUUUUUUCUGCACGGAGCUACGCUGAGUCUCUGUAGGUGUCCUGAGCCUCCCCUGUGGGGAAAGCAGCCAGGGCUAGGUCUGCAUCCACAGCCAGGUCUACCUUCCACCUUCAGACUCCUCUACAGUGCAGGUAGAGUGUGCAGACACAUGCCUUCCUCCACUGCCUCAGAGACCAGCAGCUCUUUUAUCUCCACCUGAGACAUCUUCCCUGAGAUCUUCUUGACUGAGACCUCCUCAGGAGCUAGAAUCUAGUGUCAGCACCCAGGUCCGUAGCAACUGCAGAGGGGGAGGAUCUCUAUGCCAAACCUCUGCUACACACGUAGAUGGGGGUUGUGUAAGUGACAGUUACUCUUGAUGUGCUGGAGGUUGGUCCUGACUGGCACCUCCAGACUGCGACCUUCUGAACUACGCUCAGAGGGGCUGGGUGGACCCUGCAGCAGUUAGCCAGUGCAUAGGGUUCUCCACCCCAUGCAUCCCAUCAUGUGACCCAGAAGGCAAGGGCAGACUUGACUCAUGCUUCUCUUGCUUUCCUCAAACAAGUAUUGCAGGAGGGUGCUUUCCACCCACCCCUCACCCUCUGGAACAUGCCAUCAGGCCCAUGCCCCAUAAGGCCCUCAGCACACCAUAUGAGCUGGCUGCACAAUAUCCAGCCGUUCUACCUCCAAACCAUGCCCAGAAAACAUCUGUGCAUGCUCAUGCUUCACACCAUCCAUUUCCUUGCCUUCAUGUCCUGCCCUGACACCAGGUUCUGCCAUAUAUAGAUAGUGAGGAAUCCAGCAGACCAGCCUGUAUUCCACAGCUCACUGAGGAUAUUUGUUGGUGGCUCCUCCGCAGGGCUAUGAGCAUGGGCAUGUAACCUGGCACAGUCCACGAAGUCGUCUGACUCCUGUCCUUUUUGUGAUAAGAGAUAGAUCCUGGCGCACAUCUGUGUAGAAUGCGUUAGGUUACAGCCCUUCUUCUGGCUCCUUCAAAACCUUUUACUGAGAUCCUUGCUGCACUUCUCCCCACCUCUCCUGAUCUACACCCACCUGAUCCAUGGCCCCACAAAGUCACGGGAGCACCUCAUCAACCUCCUCCUGGUGCUGGCCAAGAUGCCAUCCAUCGUACUCAGAGAAGGAAGCUGGAUGGGGGAGUGGUUGGUGAAUGUAGGGUUUAUUUCCAUUCCCUUGUUUGGUCAGGUCUCCAAGAAGUUUCAGUAGGUGGUGUCCAUGUACACCUUAAAUGCCUUUGAGGAGUAGUGGGUGUUGUCAGGGGGAUCUCUGCUUAGUGUCCUCCUCUAGAUCACUUUAUUUUUUACCUUUGACCUCACCCCCAUUAGUCAGGGUGUCUCCCCUCACCCCAUUUGUUGUCCCCCAAAAUAAUUUGUGGUCUAGUUUAAGGGGGUAGGCCUAGAGCUUCAACCCACCAAUGACUAGAUAUUUAGCUAAGGUUUAAAGCACCAUUUAACUUCAGCUGGAGAUUUGUGGUUGCAGACAGGAGUCAGAUGAAGGGCAACACUUGAGCUGUACCUGGAACAAAACACUGCAAUGAAGACAAGUUGUAGAACCACUCUGAAGUGAGGAAACCUCCCUUCCAUGCUAGUGAGAGCUGGUGGAGUUUGGGGUUGGGCUAGGAUUGUUUUUCUUUUGAAGAGUGAUCUCACCAUAGAGUUAACUAACUUUUAUCUCAGGGCACACACAGAAAUGGCCCUAGAACAUCAGCGGGAAGUGGGCUGAGCAGGGGCAUCAGUUUUUGAGAAUUUAAACUGUCGCUCAAAAAACCCCUCUGAAUGUGAACCAUACAGUGUGUCUUCCUGAGUCAGCAGAUUGACUCAAAUUAUAAUUCAUAUAUUUCUUA
Non-coding RNA from Chelonoidis abingdonii (Abingdon island giant tortoise), 2017 nucleotides. Lineage: Eukaryota; Metazoa; Chordata; Testudines; Testudinidae. The record is from RefSeq and is a predicted model, not a curated record.